Molecule: ribosomal RNA, 292 nt
Filed under: uncultured bacterium
Lineage: Bacteria
Description: partial 16S ribosomal RNA
Rfam family: Bacterial small subunit ribosomal RNA
Source: RNAcentral
GUGCCAGCCGCCGCGGUAAUACGAAGGUGGCAAGCGUUGUUCGGAUUUACUGGGCGUAAAGGGAGCGUAGGCGGUCUGGUAAGCCCUCCGGGAAAUCUCCCGGCCUAACCGGGAAAGGUCGGAGGGGACUGCGAGACUAGAGGGCGGGAGAGGAGCGCGGAAUUCCCGGUGUAGCGGUGAAAUGCGUAGAGAUCGGGAGGAAGGCCGGUGGCGAAGGCGGCGCUCUGGAACGAUCCUGACGCUGAGGCUCGAAAGCGUGGGGAGCAAACAGGAUUAGAAACCCCAGUAGUCC